This 54-nucleotide transfer RNA is filed under the name Loxodonta africana (African savanna elephant). It matches the Rfam family "tRNA", at positions 10 to 63 of the family's 71-position model. Rfam says of the family: Transfer RNA (tRNA) molecules are approximately 80 nucleotides in length. Their secondary structure includes four short double-helical elements and three loops (D, anti-codon, and T loops). The record is from Rfam by way of RNAcentral. Lineage: Eukaryota; Metazoa; Chordata; Mammalia; Proboscidea; Elephantidae.
ACUGUGGUUAAAGUACUUGGCUGUUAACCAAAAGGUUGGUGGUUCAAACCCACU